GAUGAACGCUGGCGGCGUGCCUAAUACAUGCAAGUCGAGCGAACAGACGAGGAGCUUGCUCCUCUGACGUUAGCGGCGGACGGGUGAGUAAAACGUGGAUAACCUACCUAUAAGACUGGGAUAACUUCGGGAAACCGGAGCUAAUACCGGAUAAUAUAUUGAACCGCAUGGUUCAAUAGUGAAAGACGGUUUUGCUGUCACUUAUAGAUGGAUCCGCGCCGCAUUAGCUAGUUGGUAAGGUAACGGCUUACCAAGGCGACGAUGCGUAGCCGACCUGAGAGGGUGAUCGGCCACACUGGAACUGAGACACGGUCCAGACUCCUACGGGAGGCAGCAGUAGGGAAUCUUCCGCAAUGGGAGAAAGCCUGACGGAGCAACGCCGCGUGAGUGAUGAAGGUCUUCGGAUCGUAAAACUCUGUUAUUAGGGAAGAACAAAUGUGUAAGUAACUAUGCACGUCUUGACGGUACCUAAUCAGAAAGCCACGGCUAACUACGUG
RNAcentral lists this ribosomal RNA (497 nucleotides) under uncultured bacterium. Its description in RNAcentral is "partial 16S ribosomal RNA". It matches the Rfam family "Bacterial small subunit ribosomal RNA", at positions 28 to 507 of the family's 1533-position model. The record is from RNAcentral.